RNAcentral lists this ribosomal RNA (758 nucleotides) under uncultured bacterium. RNAcentral describes it as "bacterial SSU rRNA". It matches the Rfam family "Bacterial small subunit ribosomal RNA", at positions 28 to 776 of the family's 1533-position model. The record is from RNAcentral.
GAUGAACGCUAGCUACAGGCUUAACACAUGCAAGUCGAGGGGCAGCAUGAACUUAGCUUGCUAAGUUUGAUGGCGACCGGCGCACGGGUGAGUAACACGUAUCCAACCUGCCGAUGACUCGGGGAUAGCCUUUCGAAAGAAAGAUUAAUACCCGAUGGCAUAGUUCUCCCGCAUGGUAGAACUAUUAAAGAAUUUCGGUCAUCGAUGGGGAUGCGUUCCAUUAGGUUGUUGGCGGGGUAACGGCCCACCAAGCCUUCGAUGGAUAGGGGUUCUGAGAGGAAGGUCCCCCACAUUGGAACUGAGACACGGUCCAAACUCCUACGGGAGGCAGCAGUGAGGAAUAUUGGUCAAUGGACGAGAGUCUGAACCAGCCAAGUAGCGUGAAGGAUGACUGCCCUAUGGGUUGUAAACUUCUUUUAUACGGGAAUAAAGUGAGGCACGUGUGCCUUUUUGUAUGUACCGUAUGAAUAAGGAUCGGCUAACUCCGUGCCAGCAGCCGCGGUAAUACGGAGGAUCCGAGCGUUAUCCGGAUUUAUUGGGUUUAAAGGGAGCGUAGGCGGACGCUUAAGUCAGUUGUGAAAGUUUGCGGCUCAACCGUAAAAUUGCAGUUGAUACUGGGUGUCUUGAGUACAGUAGAGGCAGGCGGAAUUCGUGGUGUAGCGGUGAAAUGCUUAGAUAUCACGAAGAACUCCGAUUGCGAAGGCAGCCUGCUGGACUGUAACUGACGCUGAUGCUCGAAAGUGUGGGUAUCAAACAGG